This 492-nucleotide ribosomal RNA is filed under the name uncultured bacterium. RNAcentral's name for it is "partial 16S ribosomal RNA". It matches the Rfam family "Bacterial small subunit ribosomal RNA", at positions 29 to 507 of the family's 1533-position model. The record is from RNAcentral.
AGUGAACGCUGGCGGCAGGCCUAACACAUGCAAGUCGAACGGCAGCACAGUAAGAGCUUGCUCUUACGGGUGGCGAGUGGCGGUCUGGUGAGGUAUACAUCGGAAUCUACUUUUUCGUGGGGUAUUACGUUGUGCAACUUACGCUAAUACCGCAUACGACCUACGGGUUAAAGCACGUUAUCUUCGGACCUUGCGCGAUUGAAUGAGCCGAUGUCGGAUUAGCUAGUUGGCGGGGUAAAGGCUCACCAAGGCGACGAUCCGUAGCUGGUAUGAGAGGAUGAUCAGCCAGACUGGAAGUGAGACACGGUACAGACACCUACGGGAGGCAGCAGUGGAGAAUAUUACACGAUGGAGGAGAGGCUGAUCCAGCAAUACCGCGUGAGUGAAGAAGGACUUAGGGUUGGAAAGUGAUUAUGUUGGGAAAGUAAAGCAGCAGGUUAAGACCCGACUGUAAUGACGGUACCAGAAGAAGAAGCACCGGCUAACUUCGUG